AAGAGAAAUAAAAGGCUGUAAGGCUGACCGAGGACUGAAAGACAUAAUUCAGACACAGUGGGAGAAUGUAAAACUCGUCCUUGGUAGAAGGCAUCGAGGGGACAGUCAGAAUCUACCUCAUGAGAAUCUCAUCACUGCAGAACCAGGGGAGAAUGAGAUCAUCUAUCCCGAUGCAAGCAUACGCUCAGACGCCACCUGUUGGACUUCAACUGCACGCUCCACAACAGACUUCCUGUAACAGGGUGCCUAGCCCUACAGCGCAGGGGCUAUUAUUAUAUUACGCACAACAAAGUGUGUCAAAUCAACAAAACAAUCAUCAAAGUAAUCAACAGUCUCAUGUGUUAUGGAACGGCCAGUCUUCCUCCCAGCCUGUUUCAAGUUCAUGUAAUUUGCAGUCGAGACCUAGGCCUCAAACGUGGUUUACCGACUCGCAGAAUGGGUUGCUUCUCAGAAGUUCAACUUGUGUGGGAAGUUCUUUACCAAAUGGACAGGUUGCACCAUUGCCAGCUGCUCAGCAUGGACCCUCCACUCAAAACCUCAGCCAUCAUCCCCAGACCUUGAAUAGACAUACUGUUCCUCAGCAGAACUAUAAUAUGCCACACUUGCACAACGUCAGUAAUACAAAUGUUCCUUGGUUCCCUUCGAAUUAUAGCAAUCCAAGUUCUGCAACUGAACAGAAUAAGCUGACGCAUCAGUCAGUUCUACCUCAGUACCAGUCUCUGAAUGAACAUCAUAACAGAAUGCAGAUUGCGCAUCAACCUGCAGCUCAGCCGCAACAAACAGAUCGGUCUGCUCAGAUUCUGCACAAUCAGGCACAGCAGAAAAUUCACAAUAAUCAAGCUCAGAUAACAGGAGGAAAAGGAAAUGGUGCUUUAUAUAACUCUGUUAACCACUUCCCUGCUACUUCACAAAGACUCAUCACUCCAUCCCAGCCUUCAAACUACAGUCAGCAGACUGGUCAGAGCCACGCAAGCUAUAACGGGAAUCACGCUCAGCAUUCAUCACAAAUCCAGCAUCAGCCUUCGCCAUACAGAACAGAGACCAAUUCUUCCGGUUACGGUCAUUUAAAACACAGCGAGAACAAGCAUCAAAAUUUACAGUCACACCCAUCCCCACCAUACCCAGAGCAGAGGAGAAAGCAGAGGAAAAAUCAAAGUUCAGCAUUAAGGUUACCCCAGGACAAUUUCCAGGACCAGACUUCACUCCAACAAUGCAACACUACACUAGAUUCUGGCCAUCAAAGCCAGACAUGCCAUCCUACUGUGUCUGCCAUUCAAGGCAACACAUGGCCACAAGAAUCAAAUGAUGCAAGCGCUGGACUCCCUAGGUCCUCAC
Long non-coding RNA from Ictalurus punctatus (channel catfish), 1335 nucleotides. Lineage: Eukaryota; Metazoa; Chordata; Actinopteri; Siluriformes; Ictaluridae. The record is from Ensembl.